AACGAACGCUGGCGGCAGGCUUAACACAUGCAAGUCGAGCGAGACCUUCGGGUCUAGCGGCGGACGGGUGAGUAACGCGUGGGAACGUGCCCUUCUCUACGGAAUAGCCCCGGGAAACUGGGAGUAAUACCGUAUACGCCCUGUGGGGGAAAGAUUGAUCGGAGUAGGAACGGCGCGCGUUGGUUUAGGUGGUUGGUGGGGUAAUGGCCCACCAAGCCGACGAUCCAUAGCUGGUUUGAGAGGAUGAUCAGCCACACUGAGAGUGAGACACGGCCCGGACUCCUACGGGAGGCGGGAGUGGCUAAUCUUGGCCUAUCGGGUCAAUCCAGAUGGAGCCAUGCCGGGUGAGUGAUUAAGUUCUUAGGGUUGUGAAGCUCUUUCAUCUGGGAAUAUAAUGACGGUACCCGAAGAAGAAGCACCGGCUAACUUCGUG
Molecule: ribosomal RNA, 433 nt
Filed under: uncultured bacterium
Lineage: Bacteria
Description: partial 16S ribosomal RNA
Rfam family: Bacterial small subunit ribosomal RNA
Source: RNAcentral